CUAGCUCAUAUUUGUAUGGAAUGGGAUCGUUUGCCUACGUUUGCCGCUAGGGGCGCUGUUCCAACUGCAUACAAAAUUGGGUUA
This is a non-coding RNA of Bombyx mori (domestic silkworm), 84 nucleotides long. The record is from Rfam. Lineage: Eukaryota; Metazoa; Arthropoda; Insecta; Lepidoptera; Bombycidae.